UUUCAAAAUUCCCUAUCCAGCAGCAACGCUAUCAACGUGAGAGGCGUUAUUAUUGUGUAAUUAAUGCCAUAAUAAAUAAACUCUUUUCACUUUUCUUUCUUUUGUUAGUUUAGGGUUUUUUCCGUCAUCGUCGACAGAUCCAGGUCUUGAUAAUUUGAUUGAAAGUUUGGUUCUCUCACAAUAGAGCCAUCAAUGGUGAUCCUUAAUUUUUCCAGUUCAAUCUGUCAUACUUGCUUACCCAAAAACACUGCGAGGAGGUCAUUCUCACACUUUUCUUAAAGCCAAAGUAUGGCCUGUGAUUUACUGGUUGAGAUUCAAAACUUUUGAUGGGAGUUGAAUACUGACUCAUUUCAUUUUGCGGAAUACUAUGUUACAAUUAAAUUGUAUCGGACACCAUUUUAUACACACAUCUGGCGGGUAAAUGGUUCAAGGAUUGAGUUGUUGCCUGGGUCUUCUCAAUUGUAAAUCACGACCAGGAUUCAACUGAAUUAGCGAGAGGUGGACAACAGAUUACACCUCGUGAUCGCAAGUGCAAGGAUAGAUGGAACCAUGUAAUUCUUAGAGAUUUAUGUAUCAAUAAUAUUGUAAAGAAAUAAAAUUUUAAUUGUGUUUAUUCGUCUCUACGAUAAACCUAUAAAAUAUUGUAGAUUUGUUUCCUCUU
Molecule: long non-coding RNA, 661 nt
Organism: Papaver somniferum (opium poppy)
Lineage: Eukaryota; Viridiplantae; Streptophyta; Magnoliopsida; Ranunculales; Papaveraceae
Exons: 5
Source: RefSeq, a predicted model, not a curated record